UAUCUUUACCUCCCUACGGCCCUCAUCCAGCUAGCUUUACCUCCCUACGGCCCUCAUCCAGCUAGCUUUACAUCCCUAUGGCCCUCAUCCAGCUAGCUUUACCUCCCUACGGCCCUCAUCCAGCUAGCUUUACCUCCCUACGGCCCUCAUCCAGCUAUCUUUACCUCCCUACGGCCCUCAUCCAGCUAGCUUUACAUCCCUAUGGCCCUCAUCCAGCUAGCUUUACCUCCCUACGGCCCUCAUCCAGCUAGCUUUACCUCCCUACGGCCCUCAUCCAGCUAGCUUUUCCUCCCUAUGGCCCUCAUCCAGCUAGCUUUACAUCCCUAUGGCCCUCAUCCAGCUAGCUUUACCUACUUACGGACCUCGUCCAGCUAGCUUUACCUCCCUACAGACCUCGUCCAGCUAGCUUUACCUCCCUACGGACCUCGUCCAGCUAGCUUUACCUCCCUACGGACCUCGUCCAGCUAGCUUUACCUCCCUAUGGUCUAAUAUAAAUGUGUAGGAUGAGUAUUAUUCUAGUGAGCUCCGCCCCAAAACAAUACCCAGUGUUCUUUGCAGUUAAUUUGUCAUGUUCCAUUUCACAUCUACAUUUUGGUCAUUUAGUAGACAUUCUUAUCCAGAGUGACUUGCUCAACUAAGGUGUUAAACAACAACAUAUCACAGUCAUAGCAAGGAAAAUGUUUUUGUAACUGUUACUGAGAAUGCUGUUGGUGUUUGGGCCAGCUACUUGCAAAUGUAUUUUUGUAUUUUAAAAUACAAAACACGUGUAUUUUAAUGAAAUGCAUUUCAAAAUACAAGUAUUUUGUUGUUUAUUUUGAUACAUUGGCCUUUAUGGUAUUUGUUAUCUGUAUUUAGUCAUUUUUACCCAUCCCUGCUUGUAUUUUGAUACGCCCAAUUAACCUCUUUGUAUCUCUACAUGACUUUUCACCUAAAUAUAUGAGACUCUCCCCUUGUUGUUGAUUGGUGGAGUGUGUGGGUGGGGGGAUCGGUCUAUUUUAGCUGGGAACCUUGACCUAAAAAACAGGGACAAGUCGACUACUGCGAACUUCCUCCCCCCCUUUGUUCAGGACGGACGGAAGUAAUCAGCUGGAUUGGCAUGUGCAUCUGCCAUUUUCAUCAGGAGCACAGUUUUAACUCGUCAAAACCUCCAAUGAAUGUUUGAAAAAACCCUUUCACCUUCUUACACACAUAAGUAGCAGCGACCAAACGACUGGUCAUCUGUUAUUGUGGCUGAAGGGGACAUCCCAAAUGGCAUCCUAUUUCCUACAUAGUGCACUAUUUGACCUUUGGGAAGCAGCCAGUGGCUCCCAGCCCACUUCCUGUUCUUUGUAUUAUAUUUACAAUAGGAAGUUGUUGUUCCAGUCAUUAUUCAUGUCCAACAACCUUUAUACACACAUUGUUUAUACACACAUUGUUUUGAGUAUUACAGACGAGCUGAUGCACAUCGGCAGAAAGACUAUUUGGCAAUGAUCCAAGUCAACUGUCAACUGGAGGUACCAGUUUUGGUACCUCCAGUUGUGGUACCUCCAGUUGUGGUACCUCCAGUUGUGGUACCUCCAGUUGUGGUACCUCCAGUUGUGGUACCUCCAGUUGUGGUACCUCCAGUUUUGGUACCUCCAAAGUUUAUGCACUAUGUUCCACUGGGGGAAUGUUAAUCUCAUGAAAAAAAGGUGUAAACAUAUGUACAUUUUGUUAAAUAGCUAGCUAGUGCACAAUUUGAGAUGGUGGGUGGUGAGAUUAGGGGAUUCUGUGUUGUGAGAAUAGGGGAUUCUGGUUUGUGAGAUUAGGGGAUUCUGGGUUGCGAGAUUAGGGGAUUCUGGGUUGUGAGAUUAGGGGAUUCUGGGUUGUGAGAAUAGGGGAUUCUGGGUUGUGAGAUUAGGGGAUUCUGGGUUGCGAGAUUAGGGGAUUCUGGGUUGUGAGAUUAGGGGAUUCUGGGUUGUGAGAAUAGGGGAUUCUGGGUUGUGAGAUUAGGGGAUUCUGGGUUGCGAGAAUAGGGGAUUCUGGGUUGUGAGAAUAGGGGAUUCUGGUUUGUGAGAUUAGGGGAUUCUGGGUUGUGAGAUUAGGGGAUUCUGGGUUGUGAGAAUAGGGGAUUCUGGGUUGUGAGAAUAGGGGAUUCUGGUUUGUGAGAUUAGGGGAUUCUGGGUUGUGAGAAUAGGGGAUCCUGGGUUGUGAGAUUAGGGGAUCCUGGGUUGUGAGAAUAAGGGAUUCUGGGUUGUGAGAAAAGGGGAUUCUGGGUUGUGAGAAUAGGGGAAUCUGGGUUGUGAGAUUAGGGGAUUCUGGGUUGUGAGAAUAGGGGAUUCUGGGUUGUGAGAUUAGGGGAUUCUGGGUUGUGAGAUUAGGGGAUUCUGGGUUGUGAGAUUAGGGGAACGACAUAAUGAUCAACUGGAGGUACCAGCAGGGUUUGGGUCAGUUCCAUUCAGAAUUUCGGUUUCCUUCCUGAAUUGAAAUGCAAAGUAGUAGGAACUGUAUAAAGUAUGAACUGUGAGAUAUGAAUCUAAAAACGGUAAUAUUUCUCAGUGCUUUGUUUCUUUUCAGACAGUAACGUCAUGGUUUGGUUAUUUGGUUGGUUGGUGGAUUAUUUAAUUGAUUGUUUGUUGUGAUCCUCAGGUCCAUCUUCAUGGAGUUUGAGAAAGAUGUGAAGGUGAAGGGGCUCCCAGCGUAUCGUUUCACCCCUCCUCGUGAUGUCCUGGCAAGCAAGGAGGAGAACCCAGCCAACGAAGGAUUCUGUGUCUCCCCCAAAGAGUGCCUGGGCACCGGCUUGCUCAAAGUCAGCGUAUGCCGAAAAGGUAGGAGCACCUCCACUCCACCCCUACCUGUCUACCUGUCUACCUCCAGGUGUAGUAGGGUCUACCUCCUCCUCUCUCCUUUCCUCUCCUCCAGGUGUAGUAGGGUCGACCUCCAAUCUCCUCUCCUCUCCUCUCCUCCAGGUGUAUUAGGGUCUAUCUCCUCCUCCUCUCUCCUCUCCACCAGGGGUAGUAGGGUCUACCUCCUCUCCUCCUCCAGGUGUUUUAGGGUCUAUCUCCUCCUCCCUCUCCUCUCCUCUCCUCUCCUCCAGGUGUUUUAGGGUCUAUCUCCUCCUCUCCUCUCCUCUCCUCUCCUCCAGGUGUUUUAGGGUCUAUCUCCUCCUCCUCUCUCCUCUCCACCAGGGGUAGUAGGGUCUACCUCCUCUCCUCUCCUCCAGGUGUUUUAGGGUCUAUCUCCUCCUCCUCUCUCCUCUCCACCAGGGGUAGUAGGGUCUAUCUCCUCUCCUCUCCUCCAGGUGUUUUAGGGUCUAUCUCCUCCUCCUCUCUCCUCUCCACCAGGGGUAGUAGGGUCUACCUCCUCUCCUCUCCUCCAGGUGUUUUAGGGUCUAUCUCCUCCUCUCCUCUCCUCUCCUCUCCUCUCCUCUCCUCUCCUCUCCUCUCCUCUCCUCUCCUCUCCUCUCCUCUCCUCCAGGUGUUUUAUGGUCUAUCUCCUCCUCCCUCUCCUCUCCUCUCCUCUCCUCUCCUCUCCUCUCCUCUCCUCUCCUCUCCUCUCCUCUCCUCUCCUCUCCUCUCCUCUCCUCUCCUCUCCUCCAGGUGUUUUAGGGUCUAUCUCCUCCUCCUCUCCUCUCCUCUCCUCUCCUCUCCUCUCCUCUCCUCUCCUCCAGGUGUUUUAGGGUCUAUCUCCUCCUCCUCUCUCCUCUCCACCAGGGGUAGUAGGGUCUACCUCCUCUCCUCUCCUCCAGGUGUAGUAGGGUCUACCUCCUCUCUCCUCUCCUCUCCUCUCCUCUCCUCUCCUCUCCUCUCCUCUCCUCUCCUCUCCUCUCCUCUCCUCUCCUCUCCUCUCCUCUCCUCUCCUCUCCUCUCCUCUCCUCUCCUCUCCUCUCCUCUCCUCCAGGUGUUUUAGGGUCUACCUCCUCUCCUCUCCUCCAGGUGUAUUUGUAUUUAUUAUGGAUCCCCAUUAGCUGCUGUCAAAGCAGCAGCUACUCUUCCUGGGGUCCAGAAAAAUGAAAGCAGUUUAUACAAUUUUUUUUGUUUUUUACAAUAAAUCAAAUCAAAUCAAAUGUAUUUAUAUAGCCCUUCUUACAUCAACUGAUAUCUCAAAGUGCUGUACAGAAACCCAGCCUAAAACCCCAAACAGCAAGCAAUGCAGGUGUAGAAGCACAGUGGCUAGGAAAAUCUCCCUAGAAAGGCCAAAACCUAGGAAGAAACCUAGAGAGGAACCAGGCUAUGAGGGGUGGCCAGUCCUCUUCUGGCUGUGCCGGGUGGAGAUUAUAACAGCACAUGGCCAAGAUGUUCAAAUGUUCAUAAAUGACCAGCAUGGUUAAAUAAUAAUAAUCAUAGUAGUUGUCGAGGGUGCAACAAGUCAUAAACUCAAGAGUAAGUGUCAGUUGGCUUUUUCAUAGCCGAUCUUUGAGAGUAUCUCUACCGCUCCUGCUGUCUCUAGAGAGUUGAAAACAGCAGGUCUGGGACAGGUAGCACAUCCGGUGAACAGGUCAGGGUUCCAGCAGGUCUGGGACAGCAGGUCUGGGACAGGUAGCACGUCCGGUGAACAGGUCAGGGUUCCAUAACCACAGGCAGAACAGUUGAAACUGUAGCAGCAGCACGGCCAGGUAGACUGGGGACAGCAAGGAGUCAUCAUGCCAGGUAGUCCUGAGGCAUGGUCCUAGGGCUCAGGUCCUCCGAGAGAGAGAAAGAAAGAAGGAGAGAAUUAGAGAGAGCAUACUUAAAUUCACACAGGACACCAGAUAAGACAAGAGAAAUACUCCAGAUGUAACAGACUGACCCUAGCCCCCCGACACAUAAACUACUGCAGCAUAAAUACUGGAGGCUGAGACAGGAGGGGUCAGGAGACACUGUGGCCCCAUCCGAUGAAACCCCCGGACAGGGCCAAACAGGCAGGAUAUAAACCCACCCACUUUUCCAAAGCACAGCCCCCACACCACUGGAGGGAUAUCUCCAACCACCAACUUAACAUCCUGAGACAAGGCCGAAUAUAGCCCACAAAGAUCUCUGCCACGGCACAACCCAAAGGGGGUUGUGCCGUUCACACAUUCACAGAUUUCACAACGCACUGUUUGCCCUCAGGCCCCUAGUCCACCACUACCACAUAUCUACAGUACUAAAUCCAUGUGUACAGUGAGGGACAAAAGUAUUUGAUCCCCUGCUGAUUUUGUACGUUUGCCCACUGACAAAAAAAUUAUCAGUCUAUAAUUUUAAUGGUAGGUUUAUUUGAACAGUGAGAGACAGAAUAACAACAAAAAAAUCCCCAAAAACGCAUGUCAAAAAUGUUAUAAAUUGAUUUGUAUUUUAAUGAGGGAAAUAAGUAUUUGACCCCUCUGCAAAACAUGACUUAGUACUUGGUGGCAAAACCCUUGUUGGCAAUCACAGAGGUCAGACGUUUCUUGUAGUUGGCCACCAGGUUUACACACACCUCAGGAGGGAUUUUGUCCCACUACUCUUUGCAGAUCUUCUCCAAGUCAUUAAGGUUUUGAGGCUAACGUUUGGCACCUCGAACCUUCAGCUCCCUCCACAGAUUUUCUGUGGGAUUAAGGUCUGGAGACUGGCUAGGCCACUCCAGGACCUUAAUGUGCUUCUUCUUGAGCCACUCCUUUGUUGCCUUGGCCGUGUGUUUUGGGUCAUUGUCAUGCUGGAAUAUCCAUCCACGACCCAUUUUCAAUGCCCUGGCUGAGGGAAGGAGGUUCUCACCCAAGAUUUGACGGUACAUGGCCCCGUCCAUCGUCCCUUUGAUGCGAUGAAGUUGUCCUGUCCCCUUAGCAGAAAAACACCCCCAAAGCAUAAUGUUUCCACUUCCAUGUUUGACGGUGGGGAUGGUGUGCUUGGGGUCAUAGGCGGUAUUCCUCCUCCUCCAAACACAGCGAGUUGAGUUGAUGCCAAGGAGCUCCAUUUUGGUCUCAUAUGACCACAACACUUUCACCCAGUUGUCCUCUGAAUCAUUCAGAUGUUCAUUGGCAAACUUCAGACGGGCAUGUAUAUGUGCUAUCUUGAGCCGGGGGACCUUGCGGGCGCUGCAGGAUUUCAGUCCUUCACGGCGUAGUGUGUUACCAAUUGUUUUCUUGGUGACUAUGGUCCCAGCUGCCUUGAGAUCAUUGACAAGAUCCUCCCGUGUAGUUCUGGGCUGAUUCCUCACCGUUCUCAUGAUCAUUGCAACUCCACGAGGUGAGAUCUUGCAUGGAGCCACAGGCCGAGGGAGAUUGACAGUUCUUUUGUGUUUCUUCCAUUUGCGAAUAACCGCACCAACUGUUGUCACAUUCUCACCAAGCUGUUUGGCGAUGGUCUUGUAGCCCAUUCCAGCCUUGUGUAGGUCUACAAUCUUGUCCCUGACAUCCUUGGAGAGCUCUUUGGUCUUGGCCAUGGUGGAGAGUUUGGAAUCUGAUUGAUUGAUUGCUUCUGUGACUUUUAUACAGGUGUCUUUUAUACAGGUAACAAGCGGAGAUUAGGAGCACUCCCUUUAAGAGUGUGCUCCUAAUCUCAGCUCGUUACCUGUAUAAAAGACACCUGGGAGCCAGAAAUCUUUCUGAUUGAGAGGGGGUCAAAUACUUAUUUCCCUCAUUAAAAUGUAAAUCAAUUUAUAACAUUUUUGACAUGCGUUUUUGGGGAUUUUUUUGUUGUUAUUCUGUCUCUCACUGUUCAAAUAAACCUACCAUUAGAAUUAUAGACUGAUCAUUUCUUUGUCAGUGGGCAAACGUACAAAAUCAGCAGGGGAUCAAAUACCUUUUUCCCUCACUGUAUGUAUAGUGCGUAUGUUAUCGUGUGUGCAUGUGUUUGCAUGUGUCUGCGCCAAUGUUUGAGUUGCUUCACAGUCCCCACUGUUCCGUAAGUUUUUUUUUCAUCUGUAUUUUAAAUGUAAUUUUACUGCUUGCCUCAGUCACUUGAUGUGGAUUAGAGUUCCAUGUAGUCAUGGCUCUAUGUAGUACUGUGUGCCCCUCACAGUCUGUUCUGGACUUGGGGACUGUGAAGAAACCUCUUGUGGCAUGUCUUGUGGGGUAUGCAUGGGUGUCCGAGCUGUGUGUCAGUAGUUUAGACAGACAGCUCGGUGCAUUCAACAUGUCAAUACCUCUCAUAAAUAAAAGUAGUGAUGAAGUCAAUCUCUCCUCCACUUUGAGCCAGGAGAGAUUGACAUGCAUAUUAUUAAUAUUAGCUCUCUGUGUACAUCCAAGGGCCAGCGUGCUGCCCUGUUCUGAGCCAAUUGCAAUUUUCCUAAGUCCUUUGUUGUGGCACCUGACCACACGACAGAACAGUAGUCCAGGUGCGACAAAACUAGGGCAGAGCAUCGCUUUAUUAUAGACAGACUUCUCCCCAUCUUAGCUACUGUUGUAUCAGUAUGUUUUGACCAUGACCGUUUACAACCCAGGGUUACUCAAUUUCCACAUUAUUUAUUACAAAAUUUGGUUUAGGUUUAGGGUUUAGUGAGUGUUUUGUUCCAAGUACAAUGCUUUUAGUUUUAGAAAUAUUUAGGGUUAACUAAUUCCUUGCCACCCACUCUGAAACUAACUGCAGCUCUUUGUUGAGUGUUGCAGUCAUUUCAGUCGCUGUAGUAGCUGACGUGUAUAGUGUUGAGUCAUCCGCAUACAUAGACACUCUGGCUUUGCUCAAAGUCAGUGGCAUGUGGUUAGUAAAAAUGGAAAAAAGCAAGGGGCCUAAACAGCUGCCCUGGGGAAUUCCUGAUUCUAACUGGAUUAUAUUUGAGAGGCUUCCAUUAAAGAACACCCUCUGUGUUCUGUUACACAAGUAACUCUUUAUCCACAAUAUAACAGGGGGUGUAAAGCCAUAACACAUACGUUUUUUCCAGCAGCAGACUAUGAUCAAUAAUGUCAAAAGCUGCACUGAAGUCUAACAAGACAGCCCCCACAAUCAUUUUGUCAUCAAUUUCUCUCAGCCAAUAGGGUCUACCUCCUCCUCUCUCCUCUCCUCCAAGAGUAGUACGGUCUACCUCCUCUGCUCUCCACCAGGUGUAGUAGGGCCUUUUCAUUUUACUCCAGGUCAGUUCAGGAGACAAAUUGAAAUAUGAUCAAUAUAUGGAUUGGUUUAAUAUUUCAAACGUAUAAAUAUGAUGUAACAUUACAAUCUCACUCAUAUCUCCCCCAAUGUCUUCUGUUGUCCUCCCAAACCCCAGAACACACACACACACACACACACACACACACACACACACACACACACACACACACACACACACACACACACACACACACACACACACACACACACACACACGUGAUUCAGCUCCCCUCUGACUCUACCCCCCCAAAACCACCUGACCAGGCCUGACCCACUAACUGAGUAGGCUGGUUGCCGGGCGGGACGGCGGUAAGCCCUGUCACCUGACUGUGGUCUGGGAAGGAGCAGUUAGUUCUUCUAAUCGCCUAGGGUGCACUACUUUAGACCAGAGCCCAAUGGUACCCUAUUCCCUAUAUAGGGCACUACUUUAGACCAGGGCCCAUAGUAGUGCACUAUAUAGGGUGCCAUUUCAGACGCAGCCCUCGUGUCCACGGUUGUGUCUGCCCAGUAAGUGUCUCACAGGUGAUUGACUGGAUGCAUUAGUGGGUUGCCAAGGUUAACAUGCCAAAGGAAACAAACACACUCACUCACUCAUCCACGUUUAAGAGAGCAAACCCUUAAAUUUGACCCGUGUGUGGAUCGGCGUCGUUCACCAUCAGGCCUGGGUUCAAAUAAUUCCAAAUACUUUUAUCUGAGCUUGAUUGAGCUUGCCUGGCUUAAAGGGAUACCUCAGAUUUGAUCUACUUCCCCAGAGUCAGAUGAACUCGUGGUUACCAUUUGUCACUGCAUGGAAUAUGAAGGAAGUUAAAGGUAGUUUCGCAAGCCAAUGCUAACUGACUGGAAGUAUCUCUUUAAUGGGACCAAUAGAAUAGUCUCAAUUGCUGAUCGGGCAAGCUAGAGUGAACGGUCAAGUAUUUGAACAAUUUCAAACAGUAUUUGAACCCAGGUCUGUCCACCAAGUCUGUCAGCUUUCCCCUACUUCUGUUUAGUUCACAUCAUGAUCUCCGGGCAAGGACAGGGGAAGUGAGGCCUAGGUAUUUGACCUUGACUUGCGUCCCAAAUGACUCCCUAUUCUGUAUGUAGUGCACUAAUUUUGACCACUCCCCAUAGGGCUCUGGUACAAUGUAGUGCACUAUAUAGAGAGUAGGGUGUCAUUUGGGACUCGUGUUGUAUUAUGAAGUUGAAUGUGUGUUGCUAUGCUAACGUCAUCUCUGUCAGGUGACUGUUGCCACAGCUUACCAAAACAUCACCUCUUGUUCUACUUCCCCCACACGUACUGUAACGUAAACACACAAUCCACCUGGACUCUCCACCCGGUCAGAAUGUCUUCAGAUCAGACACCAGGGCUGUCUUCAAGUGGCAUCCUAUUCCCUAUAUAGUGGCAUAGGACUCUGGUUAAAAGUAGUGCGCUAUAUAGGGAAUAGGGUUCCAUAGGGCUCUGGUCUAAAGUAGUGUACUAUAUAGGGUUCCAUAGGGGUCUGGUCUAAAGUAGUGCACUAUAUAGGGAAUAGGGUUCCAUAGGGCUCUGGUCUAAUGUAGUACACUAUGUAGGGAAUAGGGUGCCAUUUGGGAGGCAGUCCUAUAGUACCACACAGUGGACUCAUUUGAGGGAAAGUAGACUAGAGGGACUAGCUGUCCCCUGAGGGGAGAGGGACUAGCUGUCCCCUGAGGGGAGAGAGACUAGCUGUCCCCUGAGGGGAGAGGGACUAGCUGUCCCCUGAGGGGAGAGGGACUAGCUGUCCCCUGAGGGGAGAGGGACUAGCUGUCCCCUGAGGGGAGAGAGACUAGCUGUCCCCUGAGGGAAGAGGGACUAGCUGUCCCCUGAGGGGAGAGAGACUAGCUGUCCCCUGAGGGGAGAGAGACUAGCUGUCCCCUGAGGGGAGAGAGACUAGCUGUCCCCUGAGGGGAGAGAGACUAGCUGUCCCCUGAGGGGAGAGGGACUAGCUGUCCCCUGAGGGGAGAGGGACUAGCUGUCCCCUGAGGGGAGAGGGACUAGCUGUCCCCUGAGGGGAGAGGGACUAGCUGUCCCCUGAGGGGAGAGGGACUAGCUGUCCCCUGAGGGGAGAGGGACUAGCUGUCCCCUGAGGGGAGAGAGACUAGCUGUCCCCUGAGGGGAGAGAGACUAGCUGUCCCCUGAGGGGAGAGGGACUAGCUGUCCCCUGAGGGGAGAGGGACUAGCUGUCCCCUGAGGGGAGAGGGACUAGCUGUCCCCUGAGGGGAGAGGGACAGAUCCUAUCACAACACUGUCAAGGAAACAGGUCUCUUCUUAGUAGGGGAGGGAAGUUAGAGAAACAGGUCUCUUCUUAGUAGGGGAGGGAAGUUAGAGAAACAGGUAUCUUCUUAGUAGGGGAGGGAAGUUAGAGAAACAGGUAUCUUCUUAGUAGGGGAGGGAGGUUAGAGAAACAGGUCUCUUCUUAGUAGGGGAGGGAAGUUAGAGAAACAGGUCUCUUCUAGUAGGUGAGGGAGGUUAGGGGCCUACAACUGUUUUAUAUUAAAGCUUUUGUUGCUGUGAGUACUGUACCUUUAGCGAAUCAACACGGCUGUGUGUACCUUUAGCGAAUCAACACGGCUGUGUUUGUAGUGCUCUACCAUUUGCUGAGAACUACCCAGGAGUCACCUGUGUGUUGUAGUAUUAGCUAAACCUCAAGGGUUGUUACUUUCUGUUUCUGCCCGUUCACAUUUGACAUAUUCAGCUCAUAUAUUGCAAACAAGAUGAUCUUAUCACAUUGCAUUUCUUUCUCGCUUAGCUUGAACAGAGUUCAAAUCCCUUAGCCUCUCGUCUUUCCCCGUCUUCACAGAGUUCAAAUCCCUUAGCCUCUCGUCUUUCCCCGUCUUCACAGAGUUCAAAUCCCUUAGCCUCUCGUCUUUCCCCAUCUUCACAGAGUUCAAAUCCCUUAGCCUCUCGUCUUUCCCCGUCUUCACAGAGUUCCAGUCACUUAACUUCUUCUCCAUGUCUCUCCAGGUGCUCCAGUCGUGACAUCCUUUCCUCAUUUCUACCUGGGAGAUGAGAAGUACUCUAAUGCCAUUGUGGGACUGGAUCCUGUCAGAGAGCAUCACCAGACCUACCUGGACCUGAACCCGGUACACAACUCUGUAGUGUUCACUUCUCCGGCGGUCCAAUGGAUCAUCCACUUUAAAAUCCCAGAAGUGUUUGUUACGAACCCCUUUUGCCCUGCAGUCUAGGGGGGGGUGGAAACGAGACCCGUAACAUAUCUCAUGCAAAUCACACAAGUGAAAAAGUAACAGUGAGAACGAAAAACCACAGACAACUUAAAUCUACCGUCAAAAACGUAUUUCAAAACACACGGUAAAUGGGGUGUGGGAAAAAAGGGGCUGAGCUGGACCCAAGGAAAGAAAGAAAUAUAAAAAAAAACCUAAGCUAGUCUAGCCUGCUUUAAGAACAGCUAGCUAACUAACCAAUAAAUACAGUGGGUGGUCCACCCAGUUCUAAUUAGGGGAUUUAGACACUGUUUUCCUACGGGUAAUGUAGGCCCAUGGACGACUUGGCUGGUUGUCCCCUUUUCCCACCAACAAACAAACAGUCAUACACCGUAACAAUACAAUACUCACAGGAUAACGGACAAAGUGACAUGUAGGCGCAAAAAAAACAAAAAGACAGAUCUCUAAAGACAACUGAUUGGGUUUCUUUUAAACCAAGGGAUGUGAUUGGGUAAGGGAAAAGGAGCAGGUGUGUCUUCUGAUUGGCGACUGAUUAGGGAAUGAUGAUUGCCACCUGUGAGUAGGGGAGAAGGAGAGAAUAGAAAUACACACAGGAUACCUGUAUCCGUAACAGUGUUACAUAGAUCAUCCACUUUAAUAUUCCAAUAGUGUUACAUUUGUGUAAUUGGGAAUUACACCAACUGCGAAGGAUGAAUUAAUGUUCUCACAUUACCAGGUUAUAAUUAUUGAUGUUUAAUCGAGACAUUACCAGGUUAUAAUUAUUGAUGUUUAAUCUAGACAUUACCAGAUUAUAAUUAUUGAUGUUUAAUCUAGACAUUAAUCAAGUAUCCAGUACAUUGAGCGUUACACCUGCAGUUCACAUGGCUCAUCAAAACUGUGUCUGUGUUAUUCUACACUUCCAGACCACUGGUGUUCCUAUCCGUGCCAGUAAGAGAGCUCAGAUCAACAUCCUCAUAAACAGAAUCUCUGGCUUCCCGUGAGUACAUAUAGUCUCUGUUUCUGAACCAUUUCCAUCUCACAACCACCACACAAGUUCAGCUAGCUAAAGACGGUAGUCUCUUGUUUCUGAAUGAUUUCCUUCUUUUGUUUAAUUAUUUCCGUUUCACAACCACCACCCAAGUUCAACUAGCAAUAAUAAAGCUCAUAAUCUUUAUGAUAUCUAUAUUAUUUCCUUCCAUUGUUUAAUAAUUUUCUUACAAUCGAUUUUCCUUCACAGGAAAACCAAAUCCCUGAACGAGACUAUCUUCCCUGUCAUGUUUAUCAACGAGGUGACAUAAUCACAUUUCAUGGACUCCACAAAAAUAUACAACUUUUGUAGAAUAUGACGUUUCAAUUCAGAAAAUGUUCAUUUUAAUCCGAGCAUUAAUCGCAUUAAGUGUUUUCUUCAGACGGUAGUGAUCGACGACGUGUCGGCGGCGAAGCUCCACAAGCUGUUGCUAAUGGUGUCGCUGGUGUCCAACUUCCCUCUCGUCCUGGUUGGUCUGGGGGCCAUCCUGUUGCUGGUGUUCAUCGGCCUCAUCGUCUGCGAAUGCAAACAGAAGGUAUGACACACCCAUGUUUCUUCCCUUUUUUACUUAACCAGGCAAGUCAGUUAAGAACAAAUUGUUAUUUACAAUGACGGCCUAGUAACAGUGGGUUAACUGCCUUGUUCAGGGGCAGAACGACAGAUUUUUACCUUGUCAGCUCGGGGAUUCGAUCUAGCAACCUUUCGGUUGCUGGUCCGACGCUCUAACCACUAGGCUACCUGCCGCCUCCUUUCUUAGUUCCCCUUGCUUUUGUAUAUAUUUUUUUUUUAUAUAGAACAGUGAAAGACUGGUGGGAAAGUUCAGCGGAGAGGGGAGCGGGUGUGUUAGAAUAACAGUGGGACUGAAUCAAACCCACGCUCACACAGGCAGAUAUAUUCUGUUGGCAGCAGAUUAGACCACCCCAGGAUGCUGACCUGUGUUUCUCUGGGAAGAUAGAGUGUUGAGGGCCUGUGUCAGAGAGGAGCAGGACAACAGUGUUCUUCUCUAAUCAAUAAACUAUAGUUAGAGCCCAGAGCUGUUCCUGGUCAAGUCACGUAGUCAAGAAUAAGUCCUGGCCCUCAACUAUAAAGUACUUUAAAAAGGCAGCAAGAAAUGCCACAAAGGGGAAAGUGAAAGUCAUGUUGUAGACAGAAUAGGUACGCCAACUAAAUUUAUAGAGAUCCUAUUAAAAGACUAGAGGCUAGGUCAUGAACCCUAAAAGAUGGCUGUUACUAGGUAACCCGAUGUCCAUUCCAGUGUUCCUAUAUCUUUUUCUAUGAGGAGACACUGAAGAAUAGAGAAUACAGUAGAACUUAAGGCUGUGGUUUGGUUCAUCACAAGACACUUCUUCUCUCAACAUGAUGCAGCUACUUUGUUCUUUACUGUAAUAUUUCUAACCAGUUGUUAACAUCUUUCUUUCACAGCACGUUUUUGUAAAGGUCUUAAUGCAUUCUGCAUCAUAACAUUAAACUCAAUCUAAUAUUUGAAAAGAAAAUAGGUCUCAAAUUGACUUCAAGGUACUAACAUGUUUGUGUAACUUAACUUCUCUGGGCUAGGUGGGACGGGACCGUCAGACACUAUUCAACAGCCAGUGAAAUAGCACGGUGCGAAAUACAAAACAGCAAAAAUAUCAUAAUUUCAUUUUCUCAAACAAUCAACUAUUUUACACCAUUUUAAAGAUAAGACUCUCGUUAAUCUAACCACAUUGUCCGAUUUCAAAAAGGCUUUACAGCGAAAGCAUAGAAUUAGAUUAUGUUAGGACAUAAACUUCACAAGAAAAUCCACAUAGCCAUUUUCCAAGCAAGGACAUGCAUCAUAAAAACCAAAAGUACAGCUAAAAUAUUCACUAACCUUUGAUGAUCUUCAUCAGAUGGCACUCAUAGGACUUCAUGUUAUACAAUUGCUCGAUAAAGGUCAUAUUUAUAUCCAAAAACAGCAUUUUACAUUGGCGCGUGAUGUUCAGAAAAUGUAUUCCCACCAAAACUUCCGGUGAAUGUGCACAUCAAUUUACAAAAAUACUCAUCAUAAACGAAAGAAUUAUAGAUACACUACCCCUUGACGCAACCGCUUUGUCAGAUUUCAAAAUAACUUUACGGAGAAAGCACAUUGUUCACUAUUCUGAGUACAUAGCUCAGCCAUCGAAGCAAGCUAUACAGCUACCCGCCAAGUUCUGGCAUCAACAAAACUCAGAAUUAGUAUUAUAAAUAUUCUCUUACCUUUGCUGAUCUUCGUCAGAAUGCACUCCGAGGACUCCUACUUCCACAAGAAAUGUUUGUUUUGUUCGAAAUACUCCAUAUUUAUGUCCAAAUACCUCCGUUUUGUUCGUGUGUUCAGAUCACUAUCCAAAGGCAUAAUGCGCGAGCGCAGUACCAGAGACGAAAAGUCAAAAUGUUCCAUUACCGGUCGUAGAAACAUGUAAAACGUUGUUUACAAUCAAUCCUUAGGGUAUUUUUAACAUAAAACGUCGAUAAUAUUCCAACUGGACAAUAGCGUAUUCAUUACAGAAGAAAAAGAAGGAGGGGCGAGCUCGCGGGAUCGCAUAUCACCAAGUCCUUUGUCCUCAGACAGUCCACUCAUUGACUGAGCUACUAUUCUCUGCCCAGUAACAAGAGAAAGAUGGAAAAACUUUCUGAAGGCUGUUGACAGCCAAUGGAAGCCUUAGGAAGUGCAACGUGGUCACGGAAAAGAAAAAAAAACGAGUUAAGUUACUGCCUUUUUUCCUCCUCAAAUUAUGCUGUGAAUUUUACAAUUAUUUAUUUUCCCUUUGGAUAUUUUUUAUACCAAAGCAGUUGUUUUUAAAGCAUAUUAGGUGUCUGUAACCAAUAAUGUAGCUGAUUUUCAUCAUGUGAUAAUUUAGGGGUUUUCCACUUUUUUUUUAAACACCACUCCUGAAUAAGAAACAAUGUCACGUUGCACUUCCUAAGGCUUCCAUUGGCUGUCAACAGCCUUCAGAAAGUUUUUCCAUCUUUCUCCUACAGACACUGUAGUUUCGAUAGGGAUUCAAAAGAAGAACUACAAUUCUCAGAUUUCCACACUUCCUGGUUGGAUUUUUCUCAGGUUUUUGCCUGCCAUAUGAGUUCUGUUAUACUCACAGACAUCAUUCAAACAGUUUUAGAAACUUCAGAGUGUUUUCUAUACUAAUAAUAUGCAAAUAUUUGACUCUGGGCCCGAGUAUUGGGCAGUUUACUCUGGGCACACUUUUCAUCCGAAAUCGAAAAUACAGCCCCCUAUACCCUAAAAAGUUAACUAUUUUCUUAACCUCUCUAGGAUAGGGGGCAGUAUUUUCACAUCUGGAUAAAAAACGUACCCGAUUUAAUCUGGUUAUUACUACUGCCCAGAAACUAGAAUAUGCAUAUAAUUGUUUGAUUUGGAUAGAAAACACCCUAAAGUUUCUAAAACUGUUUGAAUGGUGUCUGUGAAUAUAACAGAACUCAUAUGGCAGGCAAAAACCUGAGAAGAUUCUGUACAGGAAGUCCCCUCUCUGACCAUUUCUUGGCCUUCUACACUCUCUUUAUUGAAAACUGAGGAUCUCUGCUGUAACCUGACACUUCCUAAGGCUCCCAUGGGCUCUCAGAAGGCGGCAGAACGUUGAAUGAUGACUUUGCAGCCCAUGGCUGAAAAACAGUAGCGCAUUUGGUAAGUGGUCGAUCUGAGAACAAUGAGACGGGGGCGCGCGUGCACGUGAAGAGUCCAUUUUAGAUUUUGAGUCUUUGAACGGAAAGGACGUUUCCCGGUCAGAAUAUUAUCGCUUUUUUACGAGAAAAAUCGCAUAAAAAUUGAUUUUAAACAGCGUUUGACAUGCUUCGAAGUACGGUAAUGGAAUAUUUAGAAAUGUUUUGUCACGAUACGCGUCCGCGCGUCACCGUUCGGAUAGUGUCUUGAACGCAAGAAGAAAACAGAGGAUAUUUGAACAUAACUAUGGAUUAUUUUGAACCAAAACAACAUUUGUGGAUGAAGUAGAAGUCCUGGGAGUGCAUUCUGACGAAGAACAGCAAAGGUAAUCCAAUUUUUCUUAUAGUAAAUCUGAGUUUGUUGAGUGCCAAACUUGGUGGGUGUCAAAAUAGCUAGCCCGUGAUGGCGAGCUAUCUACUCAGAAUAUUGCAAAAUGUGCUUUUGCCGAAAAGCUAUUUUAAAAUCGGACACCGCGAUUGCAUAAAGGAGUUCUGUAUCUAUAAUUCUUUAAAUAAUUGUUAUGUUUUUUUGUGAACGUUUAUCGUGAGUAAUUUAGUAAAUUCACAGGAAGUUUGCGGUGGGUAUGCUAGUUCUGAACGUCACAUGCUAAUGUAAAAAGCUGUUUUUUGAUAUAAAUAUGAACUUGAUUGAACAAAACAUGCAUGUAUUGUAUAACAUAAUGUCCUAGGAGUGUCAUCUGAUGAAGAUCAUCAAAGGUUAGUGCUGCAUUUAGCUGUGGUUUUGGUUUUUGUGACAUUAUAUGCUAGCUUGAAAAAUGGGUGUCUGAUUAUUUCUGGUUGGGUACUCUGCUGACAUAAUCUAAUGUUUUUCUUUCGUUGUAAAGCCUUUUUGAAAUCGGACAGUGUGGUUAGAUUAACGAGAGUCUUGUCUUUAAAAUGGUGUAAAAUAGUCAUAUGUUUGAGAAAUUGAAGUAAUAGCAUUUCUAAGGUAUUUGAAUAUCGCGCCACGGGAUUCCACUGGCUGUUGAGUAGGUGGGACGAUUUCGUCCCACAUACCCUAGAGAGGUUUUAACUAUGAUAACACCAUGAUUUAGUGACUGUAUUAACCAGUGCAUUUUAACCCAUUCUAACAGUACGGUAUGCACGGCUUCCUUUAUGUUUCUGUUCAGAAUUAAGUUUAACGUAUUCUUUAAAACCUCUACGGGAUCGGUGUACCCACUGCAGGACGGUUGAGCUAACGUAGGCUAAUGUGAUUAGCAUUAGUAAGUAACAACAACAAAAAAUCCCAGGACAUAGACAUAUCUGAUAUGGGCAGAAAGCUUAAAUUCUUGUUAAUCUAACUGCACUGUCCAAUUUACAGUAGCUAUUACAGUGAAAUAAUACCAUGCUAUUGUUUGAGGAGAGUGCACAAUUAUGAACUUAAAAAUCUAUUAAUAAACCAAUUAGGCACAUUUGGGCAGUCUUGAUAUUACAUUUUGAACAGAUAUGCAAUGGUUCAUUGGAUCAGUCUAAAACGUCAGACAUACACUGCUGCCAUCUAGUGUCCAAAAUCUAAAUUGCUCCUGGGCUGGAAUAAUAUAUUAUGGCCUUUCUCUUGCAUUUCAAAGAUGAUGGUACAAAGAAAAAAAAGUAUGCAUAUUUUUCUUAGUAUUAUCUUUUACCAGAUCGAAUGUGUUAUAUUCUCUUACAUUAAUUUCCACAAACUUCAAAGUGUUUCAUUUAAAAUGGUAUCAAGAAUAUGCAUAUCCUUGUUUCAGGUCCUGAGCUACAGGAAGUUCGAUUUUAGGCAAAAAUCUUUAAAAAUGGUCCGAUCCUGUUGGGGCUCGGGGGCAGUAUUGAGAAAUUUUAAAAAAAUAUGUGCCCAUUUUUAACUGCCUCCUACACCAACUCAGAAGCUAGGAUAUGCAUAUUAUUAACACAUUCGGAUAGAAAACACUCUGAAUUUUCUAAAACAGUUUGAAUGGUGUCUGUAAGUAUAACAAAACUCAUAUUGCAGGCAAAAACCUGUGAAAAAUAGAUCAAAAAAAAUGUGAAUUUUGUGACUGUACUAUUUAGUGUCAUUGUUUUAUAGAUACCAUAGUGAGAAAGGAUUCAUUUCGCAACACCUACGGCUUCCACUAGAUGUCAACGAUCUUUAUAAAGUUGUUUGAAGCGUCUAUGAUAAACAGAGAGCAAAUUAGAAUGCAAGGAAGUUGACAUGUCAUCACUUCAUUUUUUUGCGCCUGCGCAUAAAUCUGAGAAGCGUGAGUUUGUCAUCAUUGUUUAUCUAGACAUAGGAUAGGUUGUGUGAAAAUAUUACUGAUGUUUAAUGUUAAAAAUGGACCAAAAGAUUAAUGCUAAGCAACGUUUGACAUGUUUGAACGAACGUAAAUAGAUUAUUUACUAGUUUUUUUAGCUUUUCGGCGUGAUUUUACACCCCCCCCACCACGUUUUGUGGGAGCAUAAUGAACGCUAACUACUUGUUGUUAUUUGGACAUAAAUUAUGAACUUUGUCAAAAGAAACCACAUUUGUUCCGGACCUGGGAAAUCCUGGCAGUGCCUUCUGAUGGAGAUAAUCAAAGAAGUCAACAAAGGAAGACACAUCUUAUUCCCCUGUGAGCAACAAGGAGGCUGACGAAAAAAAUGGCUGCAGCUACGUUGCCUUGACUCCCGUUAUUGACAAGUCUUGAGGAGGGAAUGGGAAGGCUUUAUGGAGAGACAGAUGUAGGAUCUUAAUAUGAACCAGUUUGCUACAGCAGUAAAAUAAUCCUGCUUCAAUAGGAAAUGUGAAUUAUGUGGAUUAUAAUUAAUGGACAUUUUUGUAGGGUUUUUAAAAGUCAAAAAACACAGCAAGUUUGCAAUUCUCAGAAACAAAACAGUGAUAAAAUUACGAUCCUACAUCUGUAUAUCAUAUAUAUCAGUGUGAGUUGCUGUUCAGGGCUGGAUCGUUGUAAAUCAUUGUGGCACUAGUUAGACUACUUUGAUAUGUCUCCGUUGUUUUGUUUUGUUACUUGGUUUAUUUGGAUCUGGUUCAACCCACAAAGUGAGGCUAAUCUUCCCAAAGUCCCUGUUAACUCACAAGGUGGGGCUAAUCUUCCCAAAGUCCCUGUUAACUCACAAGGUGGGGCUAAUCUUCCCAAAGUCCUUGUUAACCCACAAGGUGGGGCUAAUCUUCCCAAAGUCCUUGUUAACCCACAAGGUGAGGCUAAUCUUCCCAAAGUCCCUGUUAACUCACAAGGUGGGGCUAAUCUUCCCGAAGUCCCUGUUAACUCACAAGGUGGGGCUAAUCUUCCCAAAGUCCUUGUUAACCCACAAGGUGGGGCUAAUCUUCCCAAAGUCCCUGUUAACCCACAAGGUGGGGCUAAUCUUCCCGAAGUCCCUGUUAACUCACAAGGUGGGGCUAAUCUUCCCGAAGUCCCUGUUAACCCACAAGGUGGGGCUAAUCUUCCCAAAGUCCUUGUUAACCCACAAGGUGAGGCUAAUCUUCCCAAAGUCCUUGUUAACCCACAAGGUGGGGCUAAUCUUCCCGAAGUCCUUGUUAACCCACAAGGUGGGGCUAAUCUUCCCAAAGUCCCUGUUAACCCACAAGGUGGGGCUAAUCUUCCCGAAGUCCCUGUUAACUCACAAGGUGGGGCUAAUCUUCCCGAAGUCCCUGUUAACCCACAAGGUGGGGCUAAUCUUCCCAAAGUCCUUGUUAACCCACAAGGUGAGGCUAAUCUUCCCAAAGUGUUGACAUACAGUACAUGGCCAAUUUGACCAGCUGUUUCAAACAUUCUAUACAAUAUAAACUGUUUGAUACCUGUUAUUCAACAUUUUGUAAAAAAAAAAAAAAGGCUUUAUAAAUAUAUUUGAUUGAUUGACAGCUCUAAUGCAGUUCCACCCUCAACACCGUCAAAACAACUGCUAUUAGGAUGUUGGCUAAAGUGAACCCUUAAUCUGUAUCUGGGAAACCAGCCCUAGGUGUGUGCCCUAAAGAUGUGUCCUAAAGAUGUGUCCUAAAGAUGUGCCCUAAAGAUGUGUCCUAAAGAUGUGUCCUAAAGAUGUAUCUACAUUAUUCAGGUAUCAUUCCAUUCUCAGGGGCACUAUGCUAGAAACUAUGCACCUUGUGCAUCAUGAGAUGGCUUCAAAAGUGAUUAUUAUUAUGAAACCGUAAAGUGUCAAAGAAGGUCAAGGAAGUGGUGAGAUGCUCUACUGAACAACGAAGGCUAAAUAUUUCAUGUAAUGAGUGUCUUCUUAUUAAUGAAUUUGGAUUCAUAUUAAAACGAACAACAACAAAACAUAUUUGUAACGUUAGCUAUAAUUGUUACAUUUCUACGUAUUUUAUUUGUUCAUGCACUGUUUAAAUUUAUUUUCCAACUUGGUUGGUUGAAUGUUCAAAUUAGUGAACAAAAAUGCCGUCUGACUAUGUUUAUGUUAUUGAACAUAUCCACAAUACCAUCCAUACCUAAUUCAUGGUUCACCUUCACUUUCAACUUGCAUGUGGUGAUAUUUUGCAAGUGAGCAUUUUUAAGUGUUACGUAUCUGAUAUUCCAAAUGUGACAUCUUGCCUACAUUCCUUAGGUGAGACACCUGUACCCCAGUUGGUAUAUUCAUUAGGUGAGACGCCUGUACCCAGUUGGUAUAUUCAUUAGGUGAGUGUUGAUCUGUAUCGGUCAGAUCUAUUAAAAACAAUACCACAUCAUUGGCUUAUUGCUGCCAUUGUGUGAACGAGCCAACAAACCUAUGGCACUCUGUAUACUGCGUAAAACAUGGACAGGUUUUGAUUGACUGAAUUGUUUCUGAGGCUUUUUGACACGUCAGACAAUUCUCCUGUGCCCUAUAGUGCGGGUGGCCUUCUUGUCUGAAACAAAAGAAUGAAGGCAAUGAAAAUGUGUAAUUUGAAGAUCAGAUCCCUUUAGAAUGUAUUUACAGGAUAGUGUUUUUACUAAUAGAAUAGAGUGUGUACUAAUGUGCAUUUCUGUUAUACAGGGAAGUCCAUAUGUUGUUGUGUUUUCUUUGGUUGAUAUUUUUUUUUGACAGAAAAAUGGACUGAAACUUUUAACUCACGUAUCAGGUUCUGAAUGAUCUAAAUGUAUUAUCAUCACUACAUUAUCUCUACAUUAUCUCUGCAUUUACCAUAGCUGCUGAUGAAACCAUAACUUCAGGUUUUGAUGCAAGGUUGUCAUCCUAAUGGCAAACAUUUUGGAAUCAAAGAUAAACAUGUAUAUCAUACUAAACUACUGGAAUUGUAGACAUUUUGCAGUGAUGUUGAAAGCCAAAUUGUGUAUUGCUUUCUAUUGUGAGCCGUUAAUAGGAGCUCAUUAGCAGACUGUCUAUCUAGAAAAUGUAUUGAGAGAAACGGGCUCCUUGGAUAUCUACAUAUGUUUAUUUUCAAUGGCAUCUCCUAUUGACAUUAUAUACAUUUGUAUUAUUAUGCCUAUAAUAGCCUUUGUGCAACUGCUUAACUGCUAUAGUCCUAUAGUGUAUUAAUGCUUUGUUAAUUGUUGAAAUUGAAAUGGACUUGCUUGAAUGAUUGCUCUUAUUGUAUUGUAAUGACUGUCUGAACGUAGCCUGACAAUGAGUGACGAGGAGUUGGCAUGACAGCGCCAACAAACAUGGCAAUCAGGCUAGUCUGACACCUCAAUGUUGAAAUCAACGCAUCAGAUCACUGAGUUUAACUAUUGAUGCAUUACUUUGUAACCCAGCUGUCUUCUCUUUUCUUUAAGAUAUGCCAAACAAAAGUAGCAGAACUUUUGCUUUCCUAGAUUACUUGUUGUGAAUUUAUUAGAUACUGUUUUACUUGUGACUCACUUGUUUAUGAGAUGCCAUGCUCUUACGUACUCAGUAUUAGUUACUCUGGUUGAAAAAUAGAAAAGCAGCAAUAGAAAUUUAUAGUUUGAAAAAUGAGUAAAUGUUAGCGUUUUCUUCUCUUAUUAUAAGUCUAAUCAGUCAUAUCAUUUCAUAUUUUGAUGUUAAUUUGUCUUUGGACUCUGUAUUUACUCUGUAGCAACCAUGUGCCUUGGUCUGUAAUGGAAUUACAGAACAUUGAAUGAAGAGGGCCUCGUUCACAGGUGGUUGGUGGCACCUUAAUUGGGGAGGACGGACUCGUGGUAAUGACUGGAGCGGGAUCAGUGGAAUGGUAUCAAAUACAUCAAACACAUGGUUUCCAGGUGUCUGAUGCCAUUCCAUUUGCUCCGUCCUGGCCAUUAUUAUGAGCCAUCCUCCCCUCAGCAGCCUCCGCUGGUUUAAUUUCACCCUCAGACUCUAUGGUGCAUUUUGUAAAACAUUAGAAACAGGACAAAAUUGGGAUACAACAACUAUCAGGAGAAUUGUAUAGGUAAAUUAUACACCAUAAAAUCAAAACCAUUCUACAUGUACAACCAUAGACAUCAGUGUACACACACAGCACUACUUGUUUUGUGCUUGAACGCCAUAGAUCACAUGUAAUUAAACUACUUUCCUCAGUCCCAAAGUCCUGUUUUCUGUAAUACAGCUAAAUGCUUUUCAUUGCAGCAGUCAAACAUAAUCCUUACAUUUAUCAUAGUUAUCAUUAUUUUUGGAAUGUAGACUGCAAAAAAGUUACUAAAAUAUUUUUGGGUAAAAAUAAAAUGUUAAACUUAUUUACAAUGAAAUAAAAGCAACCAUUUUGAUUGAUUUGUCAUUCUUCGGGUUUUCUAUUGUUAUCAGUCAGCAUGCUUUAAAAUGGCAAAUAAAUUAUCUUCAGGUAUAGCCUGCACAUUUAUAUUCUGGCAACACUGAGGGAGAAGAACAACUUGAAGAGUGUCAAAACUGUUGCAAUUUGCAAUAUUUUGCUUAAAGAGUAGAUGCUGCUGAAAAGCAACUAAUCCCUUUGAUGUGGCAUCGAUAUGAGUCAGAUACAUGUAUUCUAG
Molecule: long non-coding RNA, 22646 nt
Filed under: Salmo salar (Atlantic salmon)
Lineage: Eukaryota; Metazoa; Chordata; Actinopteri; Salmoniformes; Salmonidae
Description: lncRNA (ENSSSAG00000087501.1, ENSSSAG00000096887.1)
Source: RNAcentral